UACGUAGGGGGCUAGCGUUGUCCGGAAUCAUUGGGCGUAAAGCGCGUGUAGGCGGCCCGGUAAGUCCGCUGUGAAAGUCGGGGGCUCAACCCUCGAAAGCCGGUGGAUACUGUCGGGCUCGAGUACGGGAGAGGCGAGUGGAAUUCCUGGUGUAGCGGUGAAAUGCGCAGAUAUCAGGAGGAACACCGAUUGCGAAGGCAGCUCGCUGGAACGUUACUGACGCUGAGACGCGAAAGCGUGGGGAGCAAAACGG
RNAcentral lists this ribosomal RNA (253 nucleotides) under uncultured bacterium. RNAcentral describes it as "partial 16S ribosomal RNA". It matches the Rfam family "Bacterial small subunit ribosomal RNA", at positions 524 to 776 of the family's 1533-position model. The record is from RNAcentral.